UACGAACCGUCCAAACGUUAUUCGGAAUCACUGGGCUUAAAGGGUGCGUAGGCUGCUGGAUAAGUUGGGUGUGAAAUACCUCGGCUCAACCGAGGAAUUGCGCCCAAUACUGUUCAGCUUGAGGGAGACAGAGGUAAGCGGAACUUAGGGUGGAGCGGUGAAAUGCGUUGAUAUCCUAAGGAACACCGGUGGCGAAAGCGGCUUACUGGGUCUCUUCUGACGCUGAGGCACGAAAGCUAGGGGAG
Molecule: ribosomal RNA, 245 nt
Filed under: uncultured bacterium
Lineage: Bacteria
Description: partial 16S ribosomal RNA
Rfam family: Bacterial small subunit ribosomal RNA
Source: RNAcentral